GACGUAGGGCGCGAGCGUUGUCCGGAUUUAUUGGGCGUAAAGAGCUCGUAGGCGGCUUGUUGCGUCGACUGUGAAAACCUGCGGCUCAACCGUGUGGUCUGCAGUCGAUACGGGCAGGCUGGAGUUCGGUAGGGGAGACUGGAAUUCAUGGUGUAGCAGUGAAAUGCGUAGAGAUCAUGAGGAAGACCAGUGGCGAAGGCGGGUCUCUGGACAGUUCCUGACACUGAGGCACGAAGGCCAGGGGAGCAAACGGG
Molecule: ribosomal RNA, 254 nt
Filed under: uncultured bacterium
Lineage: Bacteria
Description: partial 16S ribosomal RNA
Rfam family: Bacterial small subunit ribosomal RNA
Source: RNAcentral